CCAAGAAGGAGGAAAAAGUGAAAGUGGUAGCCGCUCAGUCUUGUCCGACGUUUUGUAACCCCAGGGACUGUAGCCUACCAGGUUCCUCUGUCCAUGGGAUUCUCCAGGCAAUACUGGAGUGGGGUGCCAUUCCCUCCUCCAGGGGAUCUCCCCCAACCAGGGACUGAAUCCGGGUCUGGAUCUCCUGCACUGCAGGUGACAUAAGGAAAUCAACCCUGAAUUUUCAUUGGAAGGACUGAUGCUGAAGCUCCAACAUUUUGCCCACGUGAUGCAAAAGAUUGACUCAUUGGAAAAGACCCUGAUGCUGUGAAAGAUUGAAGGUCAACUCAUCCCUGGGUCACCUUAACACAGUCUCCCAAGACUUUCCCGGCGGUCCAGUGGUUAAGAUUCCAUGCUCUCAUGGCAGGGGGCCUGGGUUCUAUCCCUGGUCAGGGGAACUGGAUCGUAGGUGCUGCAACUAAGAGUGCAUAGGCCACAACUGAAGACCCCCUUGUGCUGCAACUAAGACCAGUGCAGUCAGAUAAAGAUGCAUACAUAUAUAAAUAUUAAAAAUAAAAAGACAGUAUCGUAUGUGCUACGAAGUUCCACAUGCUUUUUGUGAAUUAUUCUCAUCUUUCCCCGAAGAAUGGCCCGGCCCCUCUUCACUGCUCACUGAAGUC
Molecule: long non-coding RNA, 659 nt
Organism: Dama dama (fallow deer)
Lineage: Eukaryota; Metazoa; Chordata; Mammalia; Artiodactyla; Cervidae
Exons: 3
Source: RefSeq, a predicted model, not a curated record